Haliotis rubra (blacklip abalone) is the source of this 2448-nucleotide long non-coding RNA. RefSeq lists it as uncharacterized. Lineage: Eukaryota; Metazoa; Mollusca; Gastropoda; Lepetellida; Haliotidae. The transcript is spliced from 2 exons. The record is from RefSeq and is a predicted model, not a curated record.
GUCUUUUGAUUGUUACUUUAAGACUUACAUUGUCGUGACUUAAGUAUAGACUUCUGACAGUCUUUUGAUUGUUACUUUAAGACUUACAUUGUCGUGACUUAAGUAUAGACUUCUGGCAGUCUUAUGAUUGUUACUUUAAGACUUACAUUGUCGUGACUUAAGUAUAGACUUCUGGCAUCUUAUGAUCAUUACUCUAAGACUUACAUUAUCCUAACUUUAAUAGUUUAAUACAGACUUAUGACAAUGGUAGCCCUAAAAUAAUCGUUAGUCUGAUACUUUUAAAGAGACUAAGGCCAUUGUAACCUCAGUCCUUUUAUACUGAUUUAAGACAUCGUAACCUAAAUACUUUACUUCAGACAUGACAGUCCUGGUGCCGAGAUAUUUUUGGUGGAAUGGGUCCGGGGCGCUUUACCUGAAGAACAUUACUAAUGUUAAUGGGGAUUUAGUCAUGUUACCAUGGUUACAAGAAGGUACAUCUCCGACUGUCAGUCAUAGUUCUAGUCUCAAGUCACCCUCUGCACUGCAGACAAGGAUAAGCAUUGGGGUGUGUUCCGCACUGACUUGACCAAUCGCUCGGUGGUUUAGUUAACUGGUAUGAAGUCUGUAAUUGGCUCCGAGUUGAGCAUCUUGUAUUGUAUACAUUAUAUAUCAUGUGUGGUUUUCAAUAUUCACAGUCAUCCUUUUUGUAGUAUCAAGUUUUUUGUGUGUUUUUGUAUUAUUUCCAUCAUCCACUGAUGUCAGGUUACCAUGGUUACCAUGUAGAUGUGAUUAUACCAUGAUCAGUUGAGUGGAAAGCAUUGUGUACAUUCAGCUGUGUAAAGGAUUUAGUAACUGCUGUAAAAUAUGUUAGCAUGGUUGCUUUUCAGGUCAGGAAAAUAUUGUUGGUAACCUGACUUCAGUAUGAUACAGUUUUACUUUCAACUAGUCUUGUUGCGAUAUUACACUCACAGUCAUCAGGCGGAUGUCACGUCUUCCACUAAUGUACUGCUAACACUUUGUAACAUUCAUGCAUGUGUCCCUUAUCCCACAAUGCUAAGACAAAACGCCAACAUUUGCAAAACCUUUUCUGUAAAAAUGAAUGACAAUGAAAUAAGUAUUUCAGCUGUGUCAUUUAUGAAUGCUUACAGUCGUGGUAGAAUCUCGAAUAUCAGAGUCAUCUUUCAGCAUCUACGUCUCACGACCUUAACUCUUAUGUUUUUACUGUCUUAAUGUGUAGGAUUCAACCUGCAUCGAUGUAACAUACUUUGAGCUUAUGAUCUUAUUGCCCCUCCCUGCCAAGCCACUGAAUUCACAAACCGAUAACAACUUCCACCUAUAGGGUGGAAAUGCGCCUAAAUUAACAACCCGAUACUUGACUACAUAUUACUGGAUCCUACCCAGGUAUGUACUGUAGGUGUUUUAAUUUGGGUACAAAUGUCAGAUUGAGAAUUAUUUUACCAAGGCCCUGCCUUAAGCUAUUCAGACACAUGCGUGAACAAUUUGACUGAAAACUUUAUCUUCAGUCAACAUGAAAGUCAGAAGGAAGGUAUUGUUACUAUGGAGUUUAACAAUAUAUUGCAGGUCAUGUGACUAACCUGGGACCAUGUCACGUGACUUACUCCCGACUCACACGAACUGAGUACCCGAUUCGUCUGUCCCAGCCCCGUUCCAUACUCCACAGUGUUCAUAGCUAAGGCCAGACCAGUUUUAUUUCUUGUUUUACGGAUCCGCCAGUCAUAUUUUUUCAAGAAUAAGAAAAAAAUUUUUAAUAAUUUUCCCUGCUCAAAAAAUAGAAUCCUCGUGUUUUUAUUGGACAAAAAUGUAACCUUACACAAAAAAAAAUUUUGAUUGUUUUUUGCCCCAUACAAACUUCACAAAUUGCCCAAAAUAAAAUACUUUUAGUAUUUAAAAGGAAAAUUAUUUUGACUAGUGAUGUUUAUUUUUUUCCCUCCUGCCUUUUGGUUUUCUGAGGACAAAAAUCCGUAAAACAAGAAAUAAAAAUGGUCUGGCCUAAAUAAUGUUCCGACAAACUGAUCUAAUAUUUCCACAUUUUGAUGCACUUGAUAUUAGUUGUGUAGACAACUCAUUGCUGAUCAAAGCAUUUCUUACCCUGAACUCCCAAAUAAUUCAUUAAUUCUGAAAAGUUUAAGCAAAAAAAUAUGUUAUUUUUGCCACAGGUAACAGGAACCUUACUCUGUUUACCUCAUACAAGUUUCCUGACAACUACUUCAGUGCCACCAGUUCACUACUACUGUGUGGAGAGCGAUGAUUGUAGUGUUUUGUUGUUGUGCAUCUGUCUGUUCAUUCGUUCCCUCCACAGUUCUUCAAUUCCAGCAUUUAUUUUAUCUUUUUUAGCAGAUGUUUCAUUUGAAGGUUUUAACUGUGAUAUUUUUGUACAAACUGUAACAUUUUAACUUGCUCACGACAUGGUUGUAAUGUAUGGCAAUUAAAAUUGUCUAUCUUCAACAA